AGUCAACAUGCCCAGGGGACGUGGAUAACCUCGGGAAACUGAGGAUAAACCGCGAUAGGUCAUCACUUCUGGAAUGGGUAAUGACUUAAAUCUAUAUGGCCCCUGGAUUGGACUGCGGCCGAUCAGGCUGUUGGUGAGGUAAUGGCCCACCAAACCUGUAACCGGUACGGGCUCUGAGAGGAGGAGCCCGGAGAUGGGCACUGAGACAAGGGCCCAGGCCCUAUGGGGCGCAGCAGGCGCGAAACCUCUGCAAUAGGCGAAAGCUUGACAGGGUUACUCUGAGUGAUUUCCGUUAAGGAGAUCUUUUGGCACCUCUAAAAAUGGUGCAGAAUAAGGGGUGGGCAAGUCUGGUGUCAGCCGCCGCGGUAAUACCAGCACCCCGAGUGGUCGGGACGUUUAUUGGGCCUAAAGCAUCCGUAGCCGGUCCCACGAGUCUUCCGUUAAAUCCACCUGCUUAACAGAUGGGCUGCGGAAGAUACUAUAGAGCUAGGAGGCGGGAGAGGCAAGCGGUACUCGAUGGGUAGGGGUAAAAUCCGUUGAUCCAUUGAAGACCACCAGUGGCGAAGGCGGCUUGCCAGAACGCGCUCGACGGUGAGGGAUGAAAGCUGGGGGAGCAAACCGGAUUAGAUACCCGGGUAGUCCCAGCUGUAAAUGAUGCAGACUCGGUGAUGAGUUGGCUUAUUGCUAACUCAGUGCCGCAGGGAAGCCGUUAAGUUUGCCGCCUGGGGAGUACGGUCGCAAGACUGAAACUUAA
RNAcentral lists this ribosomal RNA (754 nucleotides) under uncultured archaeon. Its description in RNAcentral is "bacterial SSU rRNA". It matches the Rfam family "Archaeal small subunit ribosomal RNA", at positions 102 to 859 of the family's 1478-position model. The record is from RNAcentral.